GUACAAAGGUUUCUACAGACCAGAUAAAGAUUGGCUCUCAAGUGUAAAAGCAAAAGGGAGCUUGACUAUACGUUCCACUCGUCAAGCAAGGAUGAAAGUUGAUCUUAGUGAUCCGAUAGUGCUAAGUGGAAGGACCAUCACUCAAC
This 146-nucleotide ribosomal RNA is filed under the name Olea europaea subsp. europaea. RNAcentral describes it as "Bacterial large subunit ribosomal RNA". It matches the Rfam family "Bacterial large subunit ribosomal RNA", at positions 2308 to 2453 of the family's 2925-position model. The record is from Rfam by way of RNAcentral. Lineage: Eukaryota; Viridiplantae; Streptophyta; Magnoliopsida; Lamiales; Oleaceae.